RNAcentral lists this ribosomal RNA (609 nucleotides) under uncultured marine archaeon. RNAcentral describes it as "bacterial SSU rRNA". It matches the Rfam family "Archaeal small subunit ribosomal RNA", at positions 29 to 641 of the family's 1478-position model. The record is from RNAcentral.
GCUAUUGGAGUUCGAUUAAGCCAUGCGAGUCUAAGGGGUACUUGUACCCCUGGCAUAAUGCUCAGUAACACGUGGAUAAUCUACCCUUAGGUGGGGCAUAAACCCGGGAAACUGGGGCUAAUUCCCCAUAGAUACAGAACGCUGGAAUGCCUCUGUAUUCAAAGCUCCGGCGCCUAAGGAUGAGUCUGCGACCUAUCAGGUAGUAGUCAGGGUCACGACCUGACUAGCCAACGACGGGUACGGGGUGUGAGAGCACUUGCCCGGAGAUGGUUUCUGAGACACGAAACCAGGCCCUACGGGGCGCAGCAGGCGCGAAAACUUCGCAAUGCGGGAAACCGUGACGAGGGAACUCCAAGUGUCUAUGCAAUGCAUAGACUGUUUUUCAGCCUAAAUAGCUGUUAGAGUAAGGGGUGGGUAAGACCGGUGCCAGCCGCCGCGGUAACACCCGCACCCCGAGUGGUAGCCACUAUUAUUGGGCCUAAAGCGUUCGUAGCCGGUUUAGUAAAUUCUUGGGUAAAUCGUACAGCUUAACUGUGCGGAUUCCGGGGACACUACUAGACUUGAGACCGGGAGAGAUUAGAGGUACUUGCAGGGGAGCGGUGAAAUGUU